This 1217-nucleotide ribosomal RNA is filed under the name uncultured Rhizaria. RNAcentral's name for it is "SSU rRNA". It matches the Rfam family "Eukaryotic small subunit ribosomal RNA", at positions 577 to 1804 of the family's 1831-position model. The record is from RNAcentral.
CGGUAAUUCCAGCUCCAAUAGCGUAUACUAAAGUUGUUGCAGUUAAAAAGCUCGUAGUUGGAUUUCUGCGGGGACGGAGCGGCCGAUCGCAACUUGCGACUCGAGCUAGCGCUUCCCCCGCAUCCUGCCGCGAACCGUGCUACCAUUAGCUUGGUGGCGCUGGGGAUCGGCUCGAUUACUUUGAGAAAAAUAGAGUGUUCAAAGCAGGCCACACGCCUUGAAUAAGUUAGCAUGGAAUAAUGACUAAGGACUUCGGUUCUAUUUUGUUGGUGUUCGGGACUGAAGUAAUGAUUGAUAGGGACAGUUGGGGCGGUCUGUAUUCCAAAGCGAGAGGUGAAAUUCUUAGACCUUCGGAAGACAAACAGCUGCGAAAGCGUUCUGCAAGGAUGUUCCCUUUGAUCAAGAACGAAAGUUGGGGGAUCGAAGACGAUCAGAUACCGUCGUAGUCUCAACUAUAAACUAUACCAGCUAGGGACCGGUCAACGUUUAAUCAUUCGACUUGAUCGGCACCUUAUGAGAAAUCAAAGCAUCUGGGUUCCGGGGGGAGUAUGGUCGCAAGACUGAAACUUAAAGGAAUUGACGGAAGGGCACCACCAGCCGUGGAGCCUGUGGCUUAAUUUGACUCAACACGGGAAAACUUACCAGGUCCAGACAUAGUAAGGAUUGACAGAUUGAUAGCUCUUUCUUGAUUCUGUGGGUGAUGGUGCAUGGCCGUUCUUAGUUGGUGGAGUGACUUGUCUGGUUAAUUCCGUUAACGAACGAGACCCCAGCCUGCUAAAUAGCGCGGCUGAGCUUUGCUCGGUGCGAGCUUCUUAGAGGGACUAUGAUGCGCGAUAGCACAUGGAAGUUUGGGGCAAUAACAGGUCUGUGAUGCCCUUAGAUGUUCUGGGCCGCACACGGGCUACACUGGCGCCUGCAACGAGCAUAUCAGCUGGCCCGAGAGGGUCUUGGCUAAUCUUUUGAACCGGCGCCGUGCUUGGGAUUGACCAUUGCAAUUGUUGGUCAUGCAACGAGGAAUGCCUUGUAAACGCGAGUCAUCAGCUCGCAUUGAAUACGUCCCUGCCCUUUGUACACACCGCCCGUCGCUCCUACCGAUGAAUGUUCCGAUGAAAUUUUCGGAGAGCGCCAGAGAACGGGGCUCCGCCUUGCAGAUCUGGAGGCUCAAAGUCACUUAAGUCUGAACAUUUCGAGGAAGGAGAAGUCGUAACAAGGUAACC